UGCCAGACUCCUACGGGAGGCAGCAGUGGGGGAUAUUGCACAAUGGGGGGAACCCUGAUGCAGCGACGCCGCGUGGGUGAAGGAGCGUUUCGGCGCGUAAAGCCCUAUCGGCAGGGAAGAAGGAGGACGGUACCUGACUAAGAAGCCCCGGCUAACUACGUGCCAGCAGCCGCGGGAAUACGUAGGGGGCAAGCGUUAUCCGGAUUUACUGGGUGUAAAGGGAGCGUAGACGGAAAGGCAAGUCAGAAGUGAAAACCCAAGGCUCAACCAUGGGACUGCUUUUGAAACUGUCAAACUAGAGUACGGGAGAGGUAAGAGGAAUUCCUAGUGUAGCGGUGAAAUGCGUAGAUAUUAGGAGGAACACCAGUGGCGAAGGCGGCCUACUGGACGGUGACUGACGCUGAGGCUCGAAAGCGUGGGGAGCAAACAGGAUUAGAUACCCGAGUAC
RNAcentral lists this ribosomal RNA (448 nucleotides) under uncultured bacterium. RNAcentral's name for it is "partial 16S ribosomal RNA". It matches the Rfam family "Bacterial small subunit ribosomal RNA", at positions 329 to 793 of the family's 1533-position model. The record is from RNAcentral.